Molecule: non-coding RNA, 30 nt
Filed under: Rattus norvegicus (Norway rat)
Lineage: Eukaryota; Metazoa; Chordata; Mammalia; Rodentia; Muridae
Source: RNAcentral
CAGGACAAGAGAUCUAAAUCACAGAGUCCU